CAGGAAGCUGCGGCAGAGUCGUUGAGCAACUUGCAUCUUAAGGAAGAGAAAAUCAAACCAGAUGCCAAUGGUGCUGUUGUCAAGACCAAUGCCAAUGCAGAGACGACAGAUGAAGAAGAGAAAGAGGACAGAGCUGCCCAGUCCUUACUCAACAAACUGAUCAGAAGCAACCUUGUUGAUAACACAAACCAAGUGGAAGUCCUGCAGCGGGAUCCAAACUCCCCUCUGUACUCGGUGAAGUCUUUUGAAGAGCUUCGGCUGAAACCACAGCUUCUCCAAGGAGUCUAUGCCAUGGGUUUCAAUCGUCCAUCCAAGAUACAAGAGAACGCAUUGCCAUUGAUGCUUGCUGAGCCGUAUGUGUCCUAUUACAACUCCAUUUCAUUUUAGAUUUUCCAUUUUUGAAAACUAUUAUUAUUUUCACAGGCCAGCAAGGUGGCUUGUGCCUAUAAUCCCAGCAACUUGAGAGGCAAGGCAGGAGGAUCGUUUCAGGCCAGGAGUUCAAGACCAGCCUGGGCAAUGUGGCAAGACCCUGUCUCAACAACAAAAAAAAACGUUAGAAACUUGGCCAGGCAUGGUGGCAUGCAGCUGUAGUCCCAGCUACUCAGGAGGCUGAGGCAGGAGGAUCACUUGAGCCCAGGAGUUUGAGGUUGCAGUGAACCAUGAUCAUACCAUUGUACUCCAUUCUGGGCAACAAAGCAAGACCCUGUC
This 708-nucleotide small RNA is filed under the name Pongo abelii (Sumatran orangutan). RNAcentral describes it as "retained intron". Lineage: Eukaryota; Metazoa; Chordata; Mammalia; Primates; Hominidae. The record is from RNAcentral.